UAAAGAUUUAUUUACUGGUAAUUUUUAAGAAAAAGUUGUUUUUAAUAAAAUCAUUUUUAUGUAGAUGUGUUUAUGUAUAGGAUAUAGAUAGAAUUUAAAGUGUGGUAGUUAAUUAGUAUUGUGAGAGAUUAUUGAAAUAUAAUGAAAAAUUAUUUAUAUAAAAGUAAAUUUAAUUUAUUGUACCUUGUGUAUCAGGGUUUAUUAAAAUAUUAAUGAUGAUUAAUCAUUAAUCCCGAUUUAAAGAGAGCUAAUUGGGUGUGUUAGUUAAUGUGGAAUAAUUAUUAAUAACACCUAAUUAGUAAUGAAACGUUAUUCGUUCUUUAAGAUAUCUGGUUUUUUAAGAAAUGAAUUUAAUUCAGGUGAUAUUUUUAUUAAUUUAAAUAUUGAAAGUUAAUGAUAUUUAUUACUAAUAUAUUGGGGGAUGAGCUUCAGUAUAAAUUUAUAAAAGUUAAUUGAUUUAAAAAUGUUGUAGGCUUAGAGUUAGCCAUCGAUAAAAGGAUGUUAUAAUUUAUAUUUUAUUAAAACAAUUUUCAAGUUAUUUAAAUUUUGCAUUAAAAUGUUAUUUUUAAUUAUAAAAAUAUAGUAAUGAUGAUGAAAUUAGUAUAAAAGUUGUUAGUGGAUUUAAUUUAAUGUAAGGUUACAUUAAGGAACUAGGCAAAUUAAUGCCCGCCUGUUUAACAAAGACAUGUCUUCUUGUGGAUAAUUUGAAGCCUGACCUGCCCACUGAUUGAAUUGCUGAAGGGCCGCGGUAUAUUGACCGUGCAAAGGUAGCAUAAUCAUUAGUCUUUUUAUUGAAGGCUUGUAUGAAUGGUUGGACGAGGUAUUGACUGUCUCAGUGUAGAUGAACAUAGAAUUUAACAUUUAAGUUAAAAGGCUUAAUUGUAUUUAAAGGACGAGAAGACCCUAUAGAGCUUUAUAUUGUUAUUGAUUUUAUUUAUGUGGUAGUUAUUGAGUAAAAUUGGUAAGGGUAUUUUGUUGGGGUGACAGGAAGAUAAGAAAAACUCUUUUUAGAAUUUAAAACAUUGAUAUAUGAUUUAUUGAUCCGUUAUUAAUGAUUAUAAGACUAAGUUACCUUAGGGAUAACAGCGUAAUCUUUUUCGAGAGUUCUUAUCGACAAAAAGGGUUGCGACCUCGAUGUUGGAUUAAGAGUAAUUUUGGGUGUAGAUGUUCAAAGUUUAGGUCUGUUCGACCUUUAAAUUCUUACAUGAUCUGAGUUCAGACCGGCGUAAGCCAGGUCGGUUUCUAUCCUUAAAUUUAAAGUGAUGUUUUAGUACGAAAGGACCAAACAUUGGGAAUAGUUAUUUUAUUGAAUUGAAUAAAAUUAAUAGG
This 1329-nucleotide ribosomal RNA is filed under the name Leuctra fusca. RNAcentral's name for it is "large subunit ribosomal RNA". The stretch from base 624 to 1329 matches the Rfam family "Archaeal large subunit ribosomal RNA", at positions 1423 to 2813 of the family's 2987-position model. The record is from RNAcentral. Lineage: Eukaryota; Metazoa; Arthropoda; Insecta; Plecoptera; Leuctridae.